AUGAUCCAAAUCUCAUCCAAGAUCCAAACACUGUCCAAGAUCCAAACUCAUCCAAGGUCCAACCCUCAUCUAAGAUCCAACCAUCCAAGAUCCAAUCAUUAUCCAAGUUCCAACCAUCAUUCAACAUCCAAACACUGUCCAAGGUCCAGCCAUGAUCCAAGGUCCAGCUGUGACCCAAAAUCCAAACACUGUCCAAGAUCCAGCCCUCGUCCAAGAUCCAACCAUCAUCCAAGAUCCAACCAUCAUCCAAGAUCCAGGAACCGCUCCAAUCCUCUCAGGAACUCACCGCCAGCAGCGCCAUUUUCCAAACCUGAUCCCAAACCCCUCCCAAAGUGUCUCUGGAAGAACCGGUCCCGACCAUCCCGGCUUCCCGCUCUCCGUGGCGGCGCCGUUCCCGGCGGGAAGCUACGUCAGCUUCCUGAUCCUGCGGUUGUGCCGGUCGAUGGUGAGCGUGGCGCGAUCCACGGAGCUGCUGAUGGAGUCCAGGGCCUCGUCCUGCCGCUCCAGCUCCGCCUCCGUCUCCAGGGCCAGGCCCUUCAGCUUCCUCAGGAUCUGCCCGAGGGAAACACGGAGAGCUCGCCGUGAGGGCUUGGGAGCAGCGGGAAAAUUCAUGGAAUGACAUCCCAAAAUCCCAAAAUUUGGGGGCUUGGGAGCAGUGGGAAAAUUCAUGGAAUGACAUCCCAGAAUUUGAGGGCUUGGGAGCAGUGGGAUAAUUCAUGGAAUGACAUCCCAGAAUUUGGGGGCUUGGGAGCAGUGGGAUAAUUCAUGGAGUGACAUCCCAGAAUUUGGGGGCUUGGGAGCAGUGGGAAAAUUCAUGGACUGAUAUCCCAGAAUCCCAGAAUUUGGGUGGGAAGGGACUGUAAGGAUCAUCCAGUUCCAAGCAGGAACAGCUCCCACCAUCCCAUGUGGAUCCAACCUGGCCUUGGACAUUCCAUGGAUCCAGGGGCAGCCACAGCUGCUCUGGG
RNAcentral lists this long non-coding RNA (965 nucleotides) under Serinus canaria (Common canary). RNAcentral describes it as "lncRNA (ENSSCAG00000006059.1)". Lineage: Eukaryota; Metazoa; Chordata; Aves; Passeriformes; Fringillidae. The record is from RNAcentral.